ACGAACGCUGGCGGCGUGCUUAACACAUGCACGUCGAACGGAAAGGCCCUGCUUGCAGGGUACUCGAGUGGCGAACGGGUGAGUAACACGUGGGUGAUCUGCCCUGCACUUCGGGAUAAGCUUGGGAAACUGGGUCUAAUACCGGAUAGGAGCCAUCUUUAGUGUGGUGGUUGGAAAGUUUUUUCGGUGUAGGAUGAGCUCGCGGCCUAUCAGCUUGUUGGUGGGGUAAUGGCCUACCAAGGCGGCGACGGGUAGCCGGCCUGAGAGGGUGUACGGCCACAUUGGGACUGAGAUACGGCCCAGACUCCUACGGGAGGCAGCAGUGGGGAAUAUUGCACAAUGGGCGCAAGCCUGAUGCAGCGACGCCGCGUGGGGGAUGAAGGCCUUCGGGUUGUAAACUCCUUUCGCUAGGGACGAAGCUUUUUUGUGACGGUACCUAGAUAAGAAGCACCGGCUAACUACGUG
RNAcentral lists this ribosomal RNA (465 nucleotides) under uncultured bacterium. Its description in RNAcentral is "partial 16S ribosomal RNA". It matches the Rfam family "Bacterial small subunit ribosomal RNA", at positions 29 to 507 of the family's 1533-position model. The record is from RNAcentral.